AACCGAGUCUUAACCGGGCGUUAAGUUGCAGGGUAUAGACCCGAAACCCGGUGAUCUAGCCAUGGGCAGGUUGAAGGUUGGGUAACACUAACUGGAGGACCGAACCGACUAAUGUUGAAAAAUUAGCGGAUGACCUGUGGCUGGGGGUGAAAGGCCAAUCAAACCGGGAGAUAGCUGGUUCUCCCCGAAAGCUAUUUAGGUAGCGCCUCGUGAAUUCAUCUCCGGGGGUAGAGCACUGUUUCGGCUAGGGGGCCAUCCCGGCUUACCAACCCGAUGCAAACUGCGAAUACCGGAGAAUGUUAUCACGGGAGACACACGGCGGGUGCUAACGUCCGUCGUGAAGAGGGAAACAACCCAGACCGCCAGCUAAGGUCCCAAAGUCAUGGUUAAGUGGGAAACGAUGUGGGAAGGCCCAGACAGCCAGGAUGUUGGCUUAGAAGCAGCCAUCAUUUAAAGAAAGCGUAAUAGCUCACUGGUCGAGUCGGCCUGCGCGGAAGAUGUAACGGGGCUAAACCAUGCACCGAAGCUGCGGCAGCGACACUGUGUGUUGUUGGGUAGGGGAGCGUUCUGUAAGCCUGUGAAGGUGUGUCGUGAGGCAUGCUGGAGGUAUCAGAAGUGCGAAUGCUGACAUAAGUAACGAUAAAGCGGGUGAAAAGCCCGCUCGCCGGAAGACCAAGGGUUCCUGUCCAACGUUAAUCGGGGCAGGGUGAGUCGACCCCUAAGGCGAGGCCGAAAGGCGUAGUCGAUGGGAAACGGGUUAAUAUUCCCGUACUUGGUGUUACUGCGAAGGGGGGACGGAGAAGGCUAUGUUGGCCGGGCGACGGUUGUCCCGGUUUAAGCGUGUAGGCUGGUUUUCCAGGCAAAUCCGGAAAAUCAAGGCUGAGGCGUGA
This 890-nucleotide ribosomal RNA is filed under the name Salmonella enterica subsp. enterica serovar Enteritidis. RNAcentral's name for it is "partial 23S ribosomal RNA". It matches the Rfam family "Bacterial large subunit ribosomal RNA", at positions 675 to 1566 of the family's 2925-position model. Lineage: Bacteria; Pseudomonadati; Pseudomonadota; Gammaproteobacteria; Enterobacterales; Enterobacteriaceae. The record is from RNAcentral.